CAUCACAUUCCAGACUUUGGUUCUUGUUAUGCCUUUCUUCACCCAAUUGAAGAUCCCUUCAGAAAACAAUGCAAAAAAGAAAAGUAAAAAUGCCUUCCCAAGCCUACCCACUACCUCCUGUUUAUGCCUCCAGGGAUUGCUUUAGCCAUCCUUGCCACACUGCACUGGGUGUUCUCCUGCGGUUGUUUACUUGUUGUGACCUCUAAAUCCUUUUCAGAAUCACUCUUUUCCAGGAUGUAGCACACUCCCCAUACCCAAUCCUGUAGAUACAAUGUGCUCCUUUUUCUUUAGCAUGUGCCAUGCCAAAAAGCAUUUCAUUUGAAGGAACUGCACUUUGUGCAAAUGACUAGUGGUUCACACCCACAGGUGCCCUGUUCUCCUGAUCUUUUAUCAGUCUACCUGUUUUUGCCUCACCUGGAAAUUUUUAUCAGCUGUGCUUUUAUAGCUUAGGAGUCAUUGCUCUGAAAUGCUGAAUAAUGUUGGGGGUUAUUACAGUUUAACCUGAAUCUUACUCUGGGUUCCUCUCAUUGAAGAUUCUCCAAGUAACAUUUCUUCUGAGGGCUUCCAUUAGUUAUUAAGCCGUUCAACAUGUGCUUUCAUUGACAGAGAUGGAAUGCUAUGCAGUUGGUACUAAGUUAAAAGUCUGUUAAAAUUUCAUUCUGGGAUGAAACUUGGCAUGUGAGAUGAGGGCUCAGCAAGUUAUGCUGAAAGUUAGGCUGUCCUCAUGCAGCUUCUUGAUGUUCAGAUACAGCAGUGUGGAUAUGGCUCCAUUCGAGAGGCAAGAAGGAGCGAGGGCUGUGCCCAGUGUUCUGAGCCCUUGGUGGAAAAUGGUGUUGUAGGUGCUGAGUGGCCUUACUGGGAGGACUGCCACAUGCCUCUCAACACUCUUGCAUUCAGCUUAGGGUAUUUAAAUUUAUAUAACUCAUCUGUUCUCAUUCGUGCUAGUUUUACAUGGCAAGAAAUCCAUCAAGCCCUUUCUGUGUGUUAGCUUGAACAGGGUAAGUGCAUCGUUGUUUUGCUGCAAGUCAGGGUUUAAAUACCAUUUAACGUCUCCUUUUAUUAAGUUCCCCUUUAUUAGUUAAUUUUGUAUAGAUCUUGGGCAAUAUGAAGCGCUUCAAGUAUAUAAAGUAUAUUGUUAUUUAAUACUUCUAGUCAAAUUUCCCAAGAGGUGGAUUUUAAGGCUGUAACAUAGUUGUGACCACUGGGUGAUUAUACUGAUGUGACCUUUGCUCCAACCCAAUGUAGUUUGGUACAAAGCAUACUGCAAUCAUGUGAAGAGCACUGUUUGGCAGUUUUGCGUGCUCCACUUCAUCAAGGUAUGUGGAUCAGCAAUUUAUUUCUUUAAUUUAUUUUUGACACUCUGUUGAUUUGCAAAUUAUUCAGAAGCUUUUCUGCAGUUACCAUCUUGAAAAUAAUGCCAUCAGGUUAUUUUUGUUUUUGUAACUGGUCAAGGUGAUCAGAGAGUGCCUUUACUACUGGAAAUUGUUGAAAAUCCUUUAAACAAAGCAAGAAAAUAGUGCUAAUGAGUUUGUGUAUGUUUAUAAGUACAUAGGUCCAGACAUGACAUAUAAAGUUGUUUUGGGAAAAUGAACCUUUCUGUACAUCAGAUUCAAAAGCAUGGGCAAAAGAUUUGCAAGAAAAAAGGUCUGUUUGGGGUACAACAAGAGGCAAAGGACAAAAGCCACCAUUAGUGGGUUAAAAUUGAGAUCCUGAGCUGUAUGAAGAAGUGGUGAAUGCCUUUUGCUGUAAUGAAUAAAUACAAAUGUUUGUUUGAAAGAAAAUUUGUCCAUGCUUUGCACAUUCAAUUUUGUAUGUAUUUUUCAGUACUUGUUCACUUGGGCAUUUCAUGCUUUACCUCAGUUCAAGUGAUUAAAGAAUGGCUCUAGAGGUGAAAUUUGUCCAGUGAAACAAAUUAUUGUCUUAUGCUGUCACAAGUUGGAAAUAACUCUGGAUUUUCAUACAGAUUUACAGAAUUUUCAUUCAGAUUUCAGUGUUCUGGAUUUGCACUACAUAUGUCUAGGAUCAAAAUAUGGCCAGCAACAUAAAAUCAGGGAGUUCAACUUUGUGUUGCAAGGUAGCAGUUCAUUGGCUUACACAUUCUUUUGCUGAGGUCAUUGGAUCAGCCUAUCCCUUCCUGAAAAAAAAACCACCAAAACAUCACUAUCUUAAAAUCCGCCAUUCUUGAUACACGAUUCUCAUACCUGAUCAUGAUUAUCUCAGGGAAAAUUGUUAAAUACGGUCAAAUGGGGAUUUGCUACCAAGUAUUUAAAUGUCGUACUGCAGUAGGGAUAAAAAAUCCACGUGGCAAAUGAGCAAGGAGGCUGAGUUCCAUCAUCUGGAACUAACUUUUGCUAAACUUUAUAUGAAUUUAGGCACUGUUAGCAGAGCAUGUGAAAGGUUAAGGGGAUGCAUAACUGAUAGAGUUCUGCUCCAUCAGUCUUUGAGGUCUCAGUUUAAAAAGCAUCAUUAACUCAGUGUUACCUUUCAGUGCCAUUCUAAAAUCUUUCAUUUUAGAACGAGAGGCCUGUGUGC
RNAcentral lists this long non-coding RNA (2532 nucleotides) under Gallus gallus (chicken). Its description in RNAcentral is "lncRNA (ENSGALG00010006721.1)". Lineage: Eukaryota; Metazoa; Chordata; Aves; Galliformes; Phasianidae. The record is from RNAcentral.